This is a non-coding RNA of Sus scrofa (pig), 1834 nucleotides long. Lineage: Eukaryota; Metazoa; Chordata; Mammalia; Artiodactyla; Suidae. The record is from RefSeq and is a predicted model, not a curated record.
AUAGAAUGGCUAUAUGCCAACCAUAGAGAUGGGCGUCAAGGAAAGACUGAGAGUCGUUCAAAUCCUAAAUCCUUCUGAUUUCUUUCCCCACCCAGAACACCGGCCUGUAAUUAGUGCCUGUCUCUGUAGUACGCAAAACCAAACUUUAUAAACUACAGGGCGCAAGUAAUGCCUAAUCUGUUUGAGAUGCUCUGUGUCAGGAUCUAGGCUAGCUGAGGCGGCAAAGUAGCCUUGUCCCUGAAUUUAAGGUAACUUGGUUUUGGUAGAAAGAGCUUGUGUUUGAAAGACCAGUGUGUAGCCAGAUCCUGACUUUGUGAUGAAUUUGCCAAGUGAUCCUGAUCACUUAGCCGUUCUAAACCUCAGUUUCGGGGCGGGGGGGGAGUAUAAGGAUUAGAUGAAUUAACGUCAAUCACCUGGCACAUUCUGAGUAGUAAACAUUUAAAGGACUGGUAGGACUGAUGUGGUGUGGAAGAUUUAUGUGAUUGCAACACUUUAAUGAAUGCUAACAUGGCUGUAAACAGGCUACUUUUGAACUCUAAGGAGAGAAGGCCUAACUUUGCACAAACUCUAGUGUGCAGGCCGUGUCCGAGCCCAGCUCAGCUGAUCAGCGUGACCUUGGAGGAGCUGCUUGCCAUCUUCACCAGUGUGCUGGGGCGCUCGCCCUUUCUCCUUGUUGUUUCCCAUCACGACGUGGCCGUCAGGGGUUCCAAGAAGCUGGAAUGAGAGUAGUGCCUUCUCCGCCUCCAGGAUGUAAUCUGAGGGUGCUGACUGAGGUCUCUGGGGGGCUUGUUUGGGCUGGAACAUCCGAAACGGCUCACCCAGGUGGCAGGUGGCCCAGAGCGAUUCAUUGGAACAACUCGCUUCUCCCCAUGUGACCUGAGUUUGGCUUGGGCUUCUCCCAGCAUGGCAGCUGGCUUCCAAGAGGAAGCCUCCCAGAGCAAGUCGUCUACAAGGAAGGAAAUGGAAGUUGCCAAGCCUCCUAACCCUGGGCUGGGAAAUCCUAGAAUGCCGCUUCUGGUCAAAACCAGUCAGGGGUCAGUCCAGGUUCAAAGGGAAGGGAAACAGCCCUCCCUUUGGAGGGGAAGAGCCACCUGCGCAUAUACAGAGGGCAAGUAUUGUUUGCGAUCGCCUUGGGAAACUAGCUCCCGCCACAGAGUAGAGCGCCUGGCCUCACCUGGGUAGGUGCACAGUCAGGGGAGGGUCACCACAUCUUAGCACAUCGGCCCCUCUUGCAAGGCUGGCCCUCCUUCCUAAUGGAUCACCCGCUCUAUGGUCCUGGCAGUGAGAACGGCUGAAACUAAGCAGGAGCUGGGAAUUAGGGACGUGAAGAAAUGCAGAAACAAGGGAAGUGCAGUUAAACGAGAAGAGAAAUGACUUUCAUUCAGGGAUCAGCGUCCUUGCUCCUCCUCAAGGGAUAUACGUAAUAGUACAUCAUCGGACUCAGAUCUCCGAGUUGUUCUGCAGGAACUGAGACUUGCCCACCCAGGGGGAUGGUGAACCCUAGCAGGCAGACCCCGCACCCGACGGAGGAUGACGAUUCCUGAAACAUCACCCUGUUACCUCAUCACCAACCAAUCAGAAGAACGUCGUGCACCCUGCAGCCCUCCCCCUAAAGGCUGCUCUGAAAAACCUUUCCCUCAGGGCGUUCAGGUUUUUUGAGCUUGAGCCACCCAUACCCCAUGCUUGGCGCCCUGCAAAUAAACACCAUACGUUCCUUCAUCACAACCCCUCUCAGUAAAUUGGCUUUGUGGCACGGCUGGCAAGCCGACCCGAGUUCAGUUCGGUAAAACUGUCCUUUAAACAUUUGAUAAACUGCUGUUGAAUUCCUUCUUCA